Molecule: ribosomal RNA, 459 nt
Filed under: uncultured bacterium
Lineage: Bacteria
Description: partial 16S ribosomal RNA
Rfam family: Bacterial small subunit ribosomal RNA
Source: RNAcentral
CCUACGGGUGGCAGCAGUGAGGAAUAUUGGUCAAUGGGCGGAAGCCUGAACCAGCCAAGUAGCGUGCGGGAUGAAGGCCCUACGGGUCGUAAACCGCUUUUGCACGGGGAUAACACCCUCCCCUUGUGGAGGUCUGCAGGUACCGUGCGAAUAAGGGCCGGCUAAUUCCGUGCCAGCAGCCGCGGUAAUACGGAAGGACCGAGCGUUAUCCGGAUUUAUUGGGGUUAAAGGGAGCGUAGGCGGGCGUUCAAGUCAGCUGUAAAAUCGCGCGGCUCAACCGGGACCCGCAGUUGAUACUGGACGCCUUGAGUUCACAAGCGGCAGGCGGAAUUCGUGGUGUAGCGGUGAAAUGCAGAGAUAUCACGAGGAACCCCGAUUGCGAAGGCAGCCUGCCGGGGUGCGACUGACGCUGAGGCUCGAAGGUGCGGGUAUCAAACAGGAUUAGAUACCCUUGUAGUC